UAUCAGCUUGUUGGUGAGGUAACGGCUCACCAAGGCAAAGAUGCGUAGCGGGUGUGAGAGCACGACCCGCGCCACUGGCACUGAGACACUGGCCAGACACCUACGGGUGGCUGCAGUCGAGGAUCUUUGGCAAUGAGCGCAAGCUUGACCAAGCGACGCCGCGUGUGCGAUGAAGGCCUUCGGGUUGUAAAGCACUGUCGAGGGGGAUCAAGGGCAACUUGAGUGAUCCCUGGAGGAAGGGCGGGCUAAGUUCGUGCCAGCAGCCGCGGUAAGACGAACUGCCCAAACGUUGUUCGGAAUCACUGGGCUUAAAGGGCGCGUAGGCGGCGAAUCAAGUCAGGGGUGAAAUCCGGCAGCUUAACUGUCGAAGUGCCUUUGAUACUGGUUUGCUCGAGGGAGGUAGGGGUGUGUGGAACUUCUGGUGGAGCGGUGAAAUGCGUUGAUAUCAGAAGGAACGCCGGUGGCGAAAGCGACGCACUGGACCUCUUCUGACGCUGAGGCGCGAAAGCUAGGGGAGCAAACGGGAUUAGAUACCCCGGUAGUCCUAGCCCUAAACGAUGGGUACUAGAUUGUAGACUAAUCAUGGGUUUACAGUCGAAG
RNAcentral lists this ribosomal RNA (600 nucleotides) under uncultured bacterium. RNAcentral describes it as "bacterial SSU rRNA". It matches the Rfam family "Bacterial small subunit ribosomal RNA", at positions 239 to 851 of the family's 1533-position model. The record is from RNAcentral.